This 548-nucleotide unclassified non-coding RNA is filed under the name Hevea brasiliensis (rubber tree). The record is from RNAcentral. Lineage: Eukaryota; Viridiplantae; Streptophyta; Magnoliopsida; Malpighiales; Euphorbiaceae.
ACUUUUACACUUUGAAUCCUGCAUUUUUUUUUUUGACACUUCAGUAUCUUGCCUUUUUUUACUGUUAGCGAUUUGAUGACCCAGUAUUUUUUGUGAAACCAAGGCACAUUUUUUAUUUUUAUUUUUGAAAAAUCUUGAACUUUAUGUCUUCUCAAAUUAUAUUCUUUAAUUUUAUCAAUUUAUUGCAUAAGUUAUUUAUUUUGUUUAAAGUUGUAUCCAGUGAUUUUGGAACAUGUGUAUGCACGAUAAUGGGGCAAGUAUGUUUCUCAUUGCGGUUCAACUUCACAUUUUUUUGUGGUCUAGAUCAUGCGAGUUAUAGCAGUACUAGGAAAUUUGUUUGGUGUCUUGGAGUUGUAGUCUUCCUAUUAAUGAUUGUGACAAAUAUUGAUGUGAUGCUAAGGUGGGAUUUUGAUGUUGACAAAGAUCACCAGCUUAGAUGGUCUAGAACCCUUUUUAAGUCCAAAGAGCCGCAAAGGUAGUAUUUUCAGAAUUCUCUUUCCUCAUGAAUCUGGUUAAAAUGUUUUUGAGAUCCAUAUUUUGCGAAAUAU